Molecule: ribosomal RNA, 327 nt
Filed under: uncultured eukaryote
Lineage: Eukaryota
Description: partial 18S ribosomal RNA
Rfam family: Eukaryotic small subunit ribosomal RNA
Source: RNAcentral
CCCUUAGAUGUUCUGGGCCGCACACGCGCUACACUGAAGGAGGCAGCGUGUACUCCUGGAUCGAAAGAUUUGGGUAACCCGCGAAUCUCCUUCGUGCUAGGGAUUGAGGUUUGCAAUUAUCCUUCAUGAACGAGGAAUUCCCAGUAAGUGCAAGUCAUAAGCUUGCGCUGACUACGUCCCUGCCCUUUGUACACACCGCCCGUCGCUACUACCGAUUGAAUGAUUUAAUGAGGACUUCGGACUGGGACCGAUGCGGCUUUCGGGCUGCGUCGGUAUUCUGGAAAGAUGUCCAAACUGUAUCAUUUAGAGGAAGUAAAAGUCGUAACA